Tachyglossus aculeatus (Australian echidna) is the source of this 156-nucleotide small nuclear RNA. RefSeq annotates it as U1 spliceosomal RNA. The transcript has a single exon. NCBI's taxonomy places the organism in Eukaryota, Metazoa, Chordata, Mammalia, Monotremata, Tachyglossidae. The record is from RefSeq and is a predicted model, not a curated record.
UUCCUCACAUUGCACCUAGUACGUAAUAAGUGGUUUUCCCAGGGUGAGGCUCAGCCAUUGCACUGCGGCUGUGUUGACCCCUGCGAUUUCCCCAAAUGCGGGAAACUCGACUGCAUAAUUUGUGGUAGUGGGGGACUGCGUUCUUGCUCCCCUUUU